Picea glauca (white spruce) is the source of this 392-nucleotide non-coding RNA. The record is from Rfam. NCBI's taxonomy places the organism in Eukaryota, Viridiplantae, Streptophyta, Pinopsida, Pinales, Pinaceae.
UGAAAUGGGGAAAUGUUCCAUGCGAACAUCACUUGGACAUGGUCGGUUAGUUGAUCCUAAGAGAUGGGGAAUCCUUGUAUCAAGGGUGCACUCUACAUGAACAUCAAAAUAGAAUUGGGUUAAUAUUCCCGAACCAAGACAUGGUGGUGGGCGACAAUGUUAGGAAAUCUAGAGAUGUCAUCGGGGGUCUGGGAAGAGUUAUCCUUUCUUUUUAUUGACUUUCCCACUGUGAAAUUGGUUCAACCAAAAAUAGGGUCCAACAUCUGAAAUAGCACCACAUGUAUUGUGGUGUUUGGUGCCCCCUCAACGACCAUUUUAAAUAUGGUGAACUGAGUACCAUCCAUGCCCGAUUGUACUCAUAUCUGACUCCUUGGAUUUUUCAAUGUCCACUA